Molecule: ribosomal RNA, 735 nt
Filed under: Streptococcus agalactiae
Lineage: Bacteria; Bacillati; Bacillota; Bacilli; Lactobacillales; Streptococcaceae
Description: bacterial SSU rRNA
Rfam family: Bacterial small subunit ribosomal RNA
Source: RNAcentral
UUAAUGAGAGUUUGAUCCUGGCUCAGGACGAACGCUGGCGGCGUGCCUAAUACAUGCAAGUAGAACGCUGAGGUUUGGUGUUUACACUAGACUGAUGAGUUGCGAACGGGUGAGUAACGCGUAGGUAACCUGCCUCAUAGCGGGGGAUAACUAUUGGAAACGAUAGCUAAUACCGCAUAAGAGUAAUUAACACAUGUUGGUUAUUUAAAAGGAGCAAUUGCUUCACUGUGAGAUGGACCUGCGUUGUAUUAGCUAGUUGGUGAGGUAAAGGCUCACCAAGGCGACGAUACAUAGCCGACCUGAGAGGGUGAUCGGCCACACUGGGACUGAGACACGGCCCAGACUCCUACGGGAGGCAGCAGUAGGGAAUCUUCGGCAAUGGACGGAAGUCUGACCGAGCAACGCCGCGUGAGUGAAGAAGGUUUUCGGAUCGUAAAGCUCUGUUGUUAGAGAAGAACGUUGGUAGGAGUGGAAAAUCUACCAAGUGACGGUAACUAACCAGAAAGGGACGGCUAACUACGUGCCAGCAGCCGCGGUAAUACGUAGGUCCCGAGCGUUGUCCGGAUUUAUUGGGCGUAAAGCGAGCGCAGGCGGUUCUUUAAGUCGAAGUUAAAGGCAGUGGCUUAACCAUUGUACGCUUUGGAAACUGGAGGACUUGAGUGCAGAAGGGGAGAGUGGAAUUCCAUGUGUAGCGGUGAAAUGCGUAGAUAUAUGGAGGAACACCGGUGGCGAAAG